This 253-nucleotide ribosomal RNA is filed under the name uncultured bacterium. RNAcentral describes it as "partial 16S ribosomal RNA". It matches the Rfam family "Bacterial small subunit ribosomal RNA", at positions 524 to 776 of the family's 1533-position model. The record is from RNAcentral.
UACGUAGGGGGCAAGCGUUGUCCGGAUUUACUGGGCGUAAAGAGCGCGCAGGCGGUCGUUCAAGUCGCGUGUGAAAGCCCCCGGCUCAACUGGGGAGGGUCACGCGAUACUGAUCGACUCGAAGGCAGGAGAGGGUAGUGGAAUUCCCGGUGUAGUGGUGAAAUGCGUAGAUAUCGGGAGGAACACCAGUGGCGAAGGCGGCUUUCUGGUCUGUAACUGACGCUGAGGCGCGAAAGCGUGGGGAGCAAACAGG